UAGUCAUAUGCUCGUCUUAAAGACUAAGCCAUGCAUGUACAAGUACACGCAUCAAAAUGGCUAGACUGCGUACGGCUCAGUACAACAGACUUCAUCUACAAGAAGUCACAAAUCCUACAUGGAUAACUGUGGCAAUUCUAGAGCUAAUACAUGCAAGAAAGCUCCGACCACUUCUAUUAACCCAGCAAUGGGCUAAAAUGGGGUGGGAAGAGUGCCUUAUUUACACUGAAUUGAAAUCCAAACCCUCUCCGGAGGUGUUUGAGUAUGACUCUGGAAAACUUUGCUGAUCGCACGGCCUUGGUGUCGGCGACGUAUCUUUCAAAUGUCUGACCUAUCACACUAACGAUGGUACGGUAUAGGCCUACCACGGUGACAACGGGUAACGGGGAAUCAGGGUUUGAUUCCGGAGAGGGAGCAUGAGAAACGGCUACCACAUCCAAGGAAGGCAGCAGGCACGCAAAUUACCCACUCCCGAUACGGGGAGGUAGUGACGAAAAAUAACAAUACGAGACUCUAUCGAGCUCUCGUGAUUGAAAUGAGUACAGUUUAAACCUUUGAAUAAGGAUCCAUUGGAGGGCAAGUCUGGUGCCAGCAGCCGCGGUAAUUCCAGCUCCAAUAGCGUAUAUUAAAGUUGUUGCGGUUAAAAAGCUCGUAGUUGAAUUUCGAAAAGUCUCCUGGGCAUGACUCUAGUCGCAGUGAUUAAAGCGGGUGCCUCCGCCUUUAGCAAGCGGGAGCAUACACCAAACCGCUCACUGCGGCCCUGUGGGACUAAGACAGCUGGCACGGUAAGGGUGCUCUUGACUGAGUGUCCUAUGCCGAAGUGUCAGUGGCUAUUACUUUGAAAAAAUGAGAGUGUUCAAAGCAGACCAGGUGAACGUGGUCUUGAAUUGAGGUCGCAUGGUAUGAUGGAAUAGGUCCUCGGGUUGUCUUUUGUUGGCUUUCGAACCCGAGGAAAUGACUAACAGGGACUGCCGGGGGCAUUCGUAUUGCGGUGCUAGAGGUGAAAUUCAAUGACCAUCGCAAGACGUCCAAGAGCGAAAGCAUUUGCCAAGAAUGUUUUCAUUAGUCAUGAACGAAAGUCAGAGGUUCGAAGACGAUUAGAUACCGUCGUAGUUCUGACCAUAAACUAUGCCACCUUGUAAUCCGUCUGAGUCGAGGUAAGAUGACUUGGCGGGCAACCCUCCGGGAAACCUAAAAGUCUUUGGGUUCCGGGGGGAGUAUGGUUGCAAAACUGAAACUUAAAGGAAUUGACGGAAGGGCACCACCAGGAGUGGAGCCUGCGGCUUAAUUUGACUCAACACGGGAAACCUCACCCGGCCCGAACACUAGUAUGAUUGACAGAUUGAGAGCUCUUUCUUGAUUCGGUGAAUGGUGGUGCAUGGCCGUUYUUAGUUGGUGGAGUGAUUUGUCUGCUUAAUUGCGACAACGAACGAGACUCUAGCCUACUAAAUAGCUCGCGGAAGCAWUGCGUCUUCCUUGGCGAGAGAAAUACUUCUUAGAGGGACAAGUGGUAUAAAAGCCACACGAGCAAUAACAGGUCUGUGAUGCCCUUAGAUGUUCGGGGCCGCACGUGCGCUACACUGAAUGGUUCAGCGUGCUAGUACCUCCUAGCCCGAGAGGGUUUUGGGAAACCAUGUGAACGCCAUUCGUGCUAGGGAUUGGGGCUUGGCAAUUGUUCCCCAUGAACGAGGAAUUCCUUGUAAGCGCGAGUCAAAAGCUUGCGUUGAAUACGUCCCUGCCCUUUGUACACACCGCCCGUCGCUACUACCGAUCGUCCCGGUGAGUGAGCAGCUCGGAUUGGUGCCAAUUCGCAUUGGUGCCGAGAAGAAUUGCGAAUUUGUCGGGAUAGAGGAAGUAAAAGUCGUAACAAGGUAUCC
RNAcentral lists this ribosomal RNA (1877 nucleotides) under Verticordia sp. HD-2003. RNAcentral describes it as "SSU rRNA". It matches the Rfam family "Eukaryotic small subunit ribosomal RNA". Lineage: Eukaryota; Metazoa; Mollusca; Bivalvia; Verticordiidae. The record is from RNAcentral.